Molecule: ribosomal RNA, 510 nt
Filed under: uncultured Actinomycetes bacterium
Lineage: Bacteria; Bacillati; Actinomycetota; Actinomycetes
Description: bacterial SSU rRNA
Rfam family: Bacterial small subunit ribosomal RNA
Source: RNAcentral
UGGGGAAUCUUGCGCAAUGGGCGAAAGCCUGACGCAGCGACGCCGCGUGCGGGAAGAAGGCCUUCGGGUUGUAAACCGCUUUCAGGAGGGACGAGGCCACUCGGGUUAAUAGCCCAGAGGGUGACGGUACCUCCAGAAGAAGCCCCGGCUAACUACGUGCCAGCAGCCGCGGUAAUACGUAGGGGGCUAGCGUUGUCCGGAUUUAUUGGGCGUAAAGAGCGCGUAGGCGGCCGAGUAAGUCCGACGUGAAAUCUGGAGGCUCAACCUCCAGCGGUCGUUGGAAACUACUCGGCUAGAGCCCGGAAGAGGAGAGUGGAAUUCCUGGUGUAGCGGUGAAAUGCGCAGAUAUCAGGAAGAACACCGAUGGCGAAGGCAGCUCUCUGGGACGGUACUGACGCUGAGGCGCGAAAGCGUGGGGAGCGAACAGGAUUAGAUACCCUGGUAGUCCACGCCGUAAACGAUGGGUGCUAGGUGUGGGCGGUGUCGACUCCGCCCGUGCCGAAGCUAACG